CGCCAGUUCUCAUGGAGCCAUCCUUGAAAUACCACCCUGGCAACUUUGAGGUUCUAACUCAGGUCCGUUAUCCGGAUCGAGGACAGUGUAUGGUGGGUAGUUUGACUGGGGCGGUCUCCUCCCAAAGAGUAACGGAGGAGUACGAAGGUGCGCUCAGACCGGUCGGAAAUCGGUCGUAGAGUAUAAAGGCAAAAGCGCGCUUGACUGCGAGACAAACACGUCGAGCAGGUACGAAAGUAGGUCUUAGUGAUCCGGUGGUUCUGUA
This 265-nucleotide ribosomal RNA is filed under the name Bacillus thuringiensis. RNAcentral's name for it is "partial 23S ribosomal RNA". It matches the Rfam family "Bacterial large subunit ribosomal RNA", at positions 2169 to 2433 of the family's 2925-position model. Lineage: Bacteria; Bacillati; Bacillota; Bacilli; Caryophanales; Bacillaceae. The record is from RNAcentral.